UACGGGGGGAGCAAGCGUUGUUCGGAUUUACUGGGCGUAAAGGGCGCGUAGGCGGCCAGCACAAGUCAGUUGUGAAAUCUCCGAGCUUAACUCGGAAAGGUCAACUGAUACUGUGCGGCUAGAGUGCGGAAGGGGCAACUGGAAUUCUUGGUGUAGCGGUGAAAUGCGUAGAUAUCAAGUGGAACACCAGUGGCGAAGGCGAGUCUCUGGACAUUUCCUGACGCUGAGGCACGAAAGCCAGGGGAGCAAACGGG
RNAcentral lists this ribosomal RNA (254 nucleotides) under uncultured bacterium. RNAcentral's name for it is "partial 16S ribosomal RNA". It matches the Rfam family "Bacterial small subunit ribosomal RNA", at positions 524 to 776 of the family's 1533-position model. The record is from RNAcentral.